AUGAAAGGGACGGGAGACAUCUUGAUCAAUGGUUGCCGUCAGAAGGUUGCAUCCGCAACCUCCGCGUAUGUGACCCAAGAAAAUGUGCUGAUGGCGACGUUGACGGUGGCGGAGGCGGUGCACUACUCGGCACAGCUUCAGCUGCCGGACUCCUUGACGCCGGCUGAGAAGCGGUCGUGGGCCGACGAUGUUAUCCGGCAGAUGGGGCUCGCCACGGUGGCCGGAACUCGGAUCGGCGGGCGCGUUUGCAAGGGCAUCAGCGGUGGCCAGCGGAAGCGAGUGAGCAUCUGCAUUGAGCUGCUGGCGUCGCCGGCGCUCAUCUUCCUUGACGAGCCAACAAGUGGGCUUGAUAGUGCCGCGUCGUACCACGUAAUGAGCCGCAUCGCCGGGAUCGCCGGAAGGAAUGGGACGACGGUCGUCGCAGCCAUCCACCAGCCAAGCACAGAGGAGUUCGAGCUCUUCCAUGGCCUCUGCCUGUUGGCCAAUGGGAGGGCGGUUUAUUUUGGGCCAGCUUCCAAGGCAAUAGAGUUCUUUGAUGCUAAUGGCUUCCCAUGCCCAUUGAGGAGGAAUCCUUCUGAUCACUUCUUAAGGAUGAUAAACACAUACUUUGAGGAAGCCGAGGAAGAAUCAGCUAUAAAUUUGGCACAUGCUGCAAAAGUAAUCCAGACUCUAGUAGCUUCUUCUGGCUCUCUUGCUAUUUUAGGAACUGAAAUGGAAGCAAGCAAAACAAUUAAGCAGGAGGGUGACCAUGUACUUCAACGAAGGCAAGCAACCUUUUGGACCAAAUCAAUUGUCCUAACUAAAAGAUCAAUGGUUAACAUGCACAGAGACAUAGGCUAUUAUUGGUUACGUUUUGUUAUCAAUAUCGCACUUUCUCUAAUCAUUGGGACCAUUUUCUUCAAUGUUGGUGACAAUUAUGCAUCAAUCCAAGAGCGAGCAUCUAUGCUUAUGUUCACAUCAACCUUCAUGACAAUGAUGGCAAUCGGAGGUUUUCCAUCAUUUGUAGAGGAUAUGAAGAUAUUUGAGAAAGAGCAGCGGAGUGGACACUAUGGGCCAUUGAAUUUGUAA
Molecule: ribosomal RNA, 1068 nt
Filed under: Triticum aestivum (bread wheat)
Lineage: Eukaryota; Viridiplantae; Streptophyta; Magnoliopsida; Poales; Poaceae
Description: partial small subunit ribosomal RNA
Source: RNAcentral